GACGAACGCUGGCGGCGUGCUUAACACAUGCAAGUCGAACGAAGAGCGAUGGAAGCUUGCUUCUAUCAAUCUUAGUGGCGAACGGGUGAGUAACGCGUAAUCAACCUGCCCUUCAGAGGGGGACAACAGUUGGAAACGACUGCUAAUACCGCAUACGAUCUAACCUCGGCAUCGAGGAUAGAUGAAAGGUGGCCUCUACAUGUAAGCUAUCACUGAAGGAGGGGAUUGCGUCUGAUUAGCUAGUUGGAGGGGUAACGGCCCACCAAGGCGAUGAUCAGUAGCCGGUCUGAGAGGAGGGACGGCCACAUUGGGACUGAGACACGGCCCAGACUCCUACGGGAGGCAGCAGUGGGGAAUCUUCCGCAAUGGACGAAAGUCUGACGGAGCAACGCCGCGUGAGUGAUGACGGCCUUCGGGUUGUAAAGCUCUGUUAAUCGGGACGAAAGGCCUUCUUGCGAAUAGUUAGAAGGAUUGACGGUACCGGAAUAGAAAGCCACGGCUAACUACGUG
RNAcentral lists this ribosomal RNA (510 nucleotides) under uncultured bacterium. RNAcentral's name for it is "partial 16S ribosomal RNA". It matches the Rfam family "Bacterial small subunit ribosomal RNA", at positions 28 to 507 of the family's 1533-position model. The record is from RNAcentral.